UCACUUUAGUUUUUUAUUUUAUUUCAGGAGUACCUCUACAUUACUUUCCGAAUCCUGAGAAGGAUGCAGAGAGAUUUCAGUCUUGGGUGAAGAAAAUAGGGGGUGAUAUUAGAAGCUUGAACAGUGCUGUUAUUUACAAAACUCGAAGAAUUUGUCGUCAACACUUUGAGGAAAAAUUCCUGUACCAAAAAAAAAGACUUUGCAAGUUGGCUGUUCCAACCUUGCUGUUGUCCUCCGAUGACCUGUUAGCAUCAAAUGAAAGUCCAUUGGCUCCAGACUUCCAACCAUUUCAAGAAGCUACACUAUUGAAUCCUAUUGUAACUCCGUCUUGCAGUACAGCACCAACUAUAAAUCCAUUAGUUGCUAGCAAACCAACUACAUCCCGAGAUGCUACAUUAUCGCAUUCCAAGCCAAGAAAACCUGUUGAAUACAGAACUCCAGUAACCGUUUUGAAAGCGAAAUAUGAAAAAAAUGAAUUGAAAAAAUUGGAGCUGAAACUUCGUCAUGCACUGAAGAUGAAGAUGACUUACCGUGACAGAU
RNAcentral lists this unclassified non-coding RNA (540 nucleotides) under Melitaea cinxia (Glanville fritillary). Its description in RNAcentral is "misc RNA ENSMCXG00005001522.1". Lineage: Eukaryota; Metazoa; Arthropoda; Insecta; Lepidoptera; Nymphalidae. The record is from RNAcentral.